This 612-nucleotide ribosomal RNA is filed under the name uncultured bacterium. Its description in RNAcentral is "bacterial SSU rRNA". It matches the Rfam family "Bacterial small subunit ribosomal RNA", at positions 163 to 774 of the family's 1533-position model. The record is from RNAcentral.
UUAAUACCCCAUAAUAUAUUUUACGGCAUCGUGGAAUAUUGAAAACUCCGGUGGAUAGAGAUGGGCACGCGCAAGAUUAGAUAGUUGGUGAGGUAACGGCUCACCAAGUCAGUGAUCUUUAGGGGGCCUGAGAGGGUGAUCCCCCACACUGGUACUGAGACACGGACCAGACUCCUACGGGAGGCAGCAGUGAGGAAUAUUGGACAAUGGGUGCAAGCCUGAUCCAGCCAUCCCGCGUGAAGGACUAAGGCCCUAUGGGUUGUAAACUUCUUUUAUACUGGGAUAAACCUACUUACGUGUAAGUAGCUGAAGGUACAGUAUGAAUAAGCACCGGCUAACUCCGUGCCAGCAGCCGCGGUAAUACGGAGGGUGCAAGCGUUAUCCGGAUUUAUUGGGUUUAAAGGGUCCGUAGGCGGAUUCGUAAGUCAGUGGUGAAAUCUCAUAGCUUAACUAUGAAACUGCCAUUGAUACUGCGAGUCUUGAGUGAGAUUGAGGUAGCUGGAAUAAGUAGUGUAGCGGUGAAAUGCAUAGAUAUUACUUAGAACACCAAUUGCGAAGGCAGGUUACCAAGUCUUAACUGACGCUGAGGGACGAAAGCGUGGGGAGCGAAAC